AUUGAACGCUGGCGGCAUGCUUUACACAUGCAAGUCGAACGGUAACAGGCCUUCGGGUGCUGACGAGUGGCGAACGGGUGAGUAAUGCGUCGUAACGUACCCAGAGGUGGGGGAUAACGCAGCGAAAGCUGUGCUAAUACCGCAGGUGAUCUGAGGAUGAACGCGGGGGACCGAGCAGCAAUGUUUGGCCUCGCGCCUUUGGAGCGGCCGAUGUCGGAUUAGCUAGGUGGGGGGGUAAAGGCCUACCAAGGCGACGAUCCGUAUGUGGUCUGACAGGACGACCCGCCAGACUGGGAGUGAGGCAGGGCAGAGACUCCGACGGGAGGCAGCAGUGGGGAAUCUUGCAGAAUGGGGGAAAGGCUGAUACAGGAAUGCCGCGGACGGGAAGAACGACUUCGGCUUGGAAACCGAUUUUGGCAGGAGCGAAGCAGUGUCCGUUAAUACCGGACGCUAAUGACGGUACCUGCAGAAUAAGCACCGGCUAACUCCGUG
This 492-nucleotide ribosomal RNA is filed under the name uncultured bacterium. RNAcentral's name for it is "partial 16S ribosomal RNA". It matches the Rfam family "Bacterial small subunit ribosomal RNA", at positions 29 to 507 of the family's 1533-position model. The record is from RNAcentral.